This 253-nucleotide ribosomal RNA is filed under the name uncultured bacterium. Its description in RNAcentral is "partial 16S ribosomal RNA". It matches the Rfam family "Bacterial small subunit ribosomal RNA", at positions 524 to 776 of the family's 1533-position model. The record is from RNAcentral.
GACGGGGGGGGCAAGUGUUCUUCGGAAUUACUGGGCGUAAAGCGUGCGCAGGCGGUUUUGCAAGCCGGAUGUGAAAUCCCCGGGCUCAACCUGGGAAUGGCAUUCGGGACUGCAAGGCUGGAGUGCGGCAGAGGAGACUGGAAUUCCUGGUGUAGCGGUGAAAUGCGCAGAUAUCAGGAGGAACACCGGUGGCGAAGGCGGGUCUCUGGGCCGAUACUGACACUGAGGAGCGAAAGCGUGGGGAGCGAACAGG